ACCUUUCCCUCAUAAAACUUACCAGAGCAAUACGAUCAAAAGAUUAAAACUUAAAGAACUUGGCGGUUUUUUAGAUCUCCUUGGAGGAGCUUGUCAUUGAAUUGAUAACCCACAAGAAACCUUACCUUUUUAAGAAAAACAGCCUGUAUACCAUCGUCGUCAGCUCACCUCAUUAGAGAGUGAACCAAAAGGAUACCGUCCUAAACGUCAGAUCAAGGUGCAGCCAAUAAGAAGGGAAUAGAUGAGCUACUUUAUCUAAGAUAGCAAGAGGAAGUAAAGAUGAAAGAUCUUACCGAAAAAGGAUUCAACAGUAACUAGGUAAAUAGAGAUUUAGUGAAGUAAGCUCUAAAAUGCG
RNAcentral lists this ribosomal RNA (355 nucleotides) under Bohadschia argus. RNAcentral describes it as "partial 12S ribosomal RNA". It matches the Rfam family "Bacterial small subunit ribosomal RNA", at positions 875 to 1383 of the family's 1533-position model. Lineage: Eukaryota; Metazoa; Echinodermata; Holothuroidea; Aspidochirotida; Holothuriidae. The record is from RNAcentral.